GACGAACGCUGGCGGCGUGCUUAACACAUGCAAGUCGAACGGAAAGGCCCUGCUUUUGUGGGGUGCUCGAGUGGCGAACGGGUGAGUAACACGUGAGUAACCUGCCCUUGACUUUGGGAUAACUUCAGGAAACUGGGGCUAAUACCGGAUAGGAGCUCCUGCUGCAUGGUGGGGGUUGGAAAGUUUCGGCGGUUGGGGAUGGACUCGCGGCUUAUCAGCUUGUUGGUGGGGUAGUGGCUUACCAAGGCUUUGACGGGUAGCCGGCCUGAGAGGGUGACCGGCAAAAUUGGGACUGAGAUCCGGCCCAGACUCCUACGGGAGGCAGCAGUGGGGAAUAUUGCACAAUGGGCGGAAGCCUGAUGCAGCAACGCCGCGGGCGGGAUGACGGCCUUCGGGUUGUAAACCGCUUUCGCCUGUGACGAAGCGUGAGUGACGGUAAUGGGUAAAGAAGCACCGGCUAACUACGU
RNAcentral lists this ribosomal RNA (467 nucleotides) under uncultured bacterium. RNAcentral's name for it is "partial 16S ribosomal RNA". It matches the Rfam family "Bacterial small subunit ribosomal RNA", at positions 28 to 506 of the family's 1533-position model. The record is from RNAcentral.